UCCGGUGGGUGACGACCGUUGGUCGUCACAGCUUUUGAUCAGCCUGGGAGCGUGACGACCAACGGUCGUCACCCACCACU
This 80-nucleotide non-coding RNA is filed under the name Stenotrophomonas maltophilia. Lineage: Bacteria; Pseudomonadati; Pseudomonadota; Gammaproteobacteria; Lysobacterales; Lysobacteraceae. The record is from RNAcentral.